This 107-nucleotide small RNA is filed under the name Marmota monax (woodchuck). Lineage: Eukaryota; Metazoa; Chordata; Mammalia; Rodentia; Sciuridae. The record is from RNAcentral.
GCUGGGAGUGAUGGCACAUGCCUGUAAUCCUAGCAGCUCUGGAGGCUGAGGCAGGAGGAUUGCAAGUUCAAAGCCAGCCUCAGUAACUUAGCGAAAUCCUAUCUCAA